This 528-nucleotide ribosomal RNA is filed under the name Triticum aestivum (bread wheat). RNAcentral describes it as "partial small subunit ribosomal RNA". Lineage: Eukaryota; Viridiplantae; Streptophyta; Magnoliopsida; Poales; Poaceae. The record is from RNAcentral.
CAACGUCUCCUCCCCCCGCCCUCAUCCCUAUUGCCGCCGCCGGGUCCUCUCCUCUCCCCAUCGGCGCGAGUGGGCGGGUCGCGGUGUGCGGAAAGCUAGGAGAGGGAGAAGACAGAUGCGUGAGGAGGAGGAGGCCACGGCCGUCGGCUCCUCUCCUCUCCCUGUCAGCGCCAGCGCGCUGGUCGCGGGGAGUGAGGAGAGCGAGGAGAGGGAGGGGGAAGAUCAAUGCGUGAGGAGGAGGACCACGCGGUGGCGCGCCAGCCAAAUCCGAGGCGCGUGGGCGCGGAGGCAGCCGCGGUGGGCUCCGGCCUCUUCUUCACGCACGACGGCAGGAGCAGCUCCACCUCUCCACUCCCCCCACGCGUGAGCCAUCCACAACCCCACCCCCACACCGAGGCAGCGUCCAGAGGCGGUCGGCGGCGGCGCAGGUUCUGAUAAAUGAGUGAUGACUAAUGGUUGAUGCAAAGGAGGAGCCGUACUGAUGGAAGUUGGCAGCAAAAUCAGGUGAGACUGGAUAGCCCGUCCCAA